GACGAACGCUGGCGGCGUGCUUAACACAUGCAAGUCGAACGGAAAGGCCCUGCUUGCAGGGUACUCGAGUGGCGAACGGGUGAGUAACACGUGGGUGAUCUGCCCUGCACUUCGGGAUAAGCCUGGGAAACUGGGUCUAAUACCGGAUAGGAGCCAUUUUUAGUGUGAUGGUUGGAAAGUUUUUUCGGUGUAGGAUGAGCUCGCGGCCUAUCAGCUUGUUGGUGGGGUAAUGGCCUACCAAGGCGGCGACGGGUAGCCGGCCUGAGAGGGUGGACGGCCACAUUGGGACUGAGAUACGGCCCAGACUCCUACGGGAGGCAGCAGUGGGGAAGAUUGCACAAGGGGCGCAAGCCUGAUGCAGCGACGCCGCGGGGGGGAUGACGGCCUUCGGGUUGUAAACUCCUUUCGCUAGGGACGAAGCUUUUUGUGACGGUACCUAGAUAAGAAGCACCGGCUAACUACGUG
RNAcentral lists this ribosomal RNA (465 nucleotides) under uncultured bacterium. RNAcentral's name for it is "partial 16S ribosomal RNA". It matches the Rfam family "Bacterial small subunit ribosomal RNA", at positions 28 to 507 of the family's 1533-position model. The record is from RNAcentral.